CGGUGGCAAACAAGCAUACGACCCGUCUGAUGGUAAGCAGUCUCCGUAGCCUAUGGACGCUGGCAACUUAAGAGGAGUUGCGCGUUGCCGACCCUAACACUCCGCACCCUCGUUGAGCUCUGGCAACCUUACUCACAACACUAUAAGUAGGGUGCAGGGUUAUUUGGCUGCGGUUUUCUAUAAGGUGGAGGUACUUCCCCAGUUGGGCUCUGCUCUAGAUCUGGAAUGACAUCCGCUGUGCUGUGCCCUACCACACAAAGCGAUAUGACAUUCACCACCCCCAUACCCACACCUCUCUUUUGGGCGUAGUUUAAAGACAUACCCGGGUCCAAAGACCAUCCUGUCUAAAUCUUUUAAUUGAAAUACUAAUCAAUGAAAAAUUAAGUUUACAUCCUGCUCUAAAAAAAACAAAAUUCGUUACAAAUAAUACUAAGAAACAUGUAGUUAUAUCAGACAGAUAUUGUAGUAUUAUCAGAGCUUAAAACAAUCAUUGACAAUUGAAUUUAAAAAUCGGAUGCAGCAUAGAUAAACAUACACCAGCCUUACCACGAGUUUGACACUGAGUGAUGUAAAUCCGCUGGCGUGAGCGUAACUUACUUUCUAUGCAUGUAAAAGUACAUGGACAGUGCAGCAGUGGUACGUCAGUAUCAAACUCGUGGUAAGGCUACAGCUCGUAAAGGAACUUUAUUCUUCAAAAACUGAUGGAAUUGUUGCAUUUUUUUAGUUGUUUCCUAAUGAUAGCUAUGAUAAAUAUUUAAUAGCGUUCAUUUGUAUUUGAUUUGUAACGUUUUACAUUUAUUAAAACAUUACAGGUGUGAAAUAGUACUACAUACUGUACUAUGCUUAUUGGAGAUGCAACGGUUAUCCGGUCAUUAUCCGGUAUCCGGCCUAACCAGCCAUAUUUUUACUAUCCAUAUCGGAUACCGGAUAGUUGCAUAGUCCGGCCGAGGCGAAGUUGAGGACGACAAACCGGGCUGAAAGUGGACGCUUACGGCCGUAGGGCAAAGUAUAUUUAUUAACAUUGUUUUCUUAUCUCCGUUUUUUAUCGUCUUCAGUUAUCUGCGCCAGUGAAAAAACUAAGCAUGCAGGUUCCAAAUAAGCAAAAGGACGAAGCUUUCAAG
Molecule: long non-coding RNA, 1121 nt
Organism: Cydia pomonella (codling moth)
Lineage: Eukaryota; Metazoa; Arthropoda; Insecta; Lepidoptera; Tortricidae
Exons: 3
Source: RefSeq, a predicted model, not a curated record